This is a long non-coding RNA of Paramisgurnus dabryanus, 2038 nucleotides long. RefSeq lists it as uncharacterized. The record is from RefSeq and is a predicted model, not a curated record. NCBI's taxonomy places the organism in Eukaryota, Metazoa, Chordata, Actinopteri, Cypriniformes, Cobitidae.
UCGGACCACCGUCGGGGCACCUUCGGCAAACCGACCAACGUAAAAAAGCUGUCGGUCUGCCGGCGUUUCUUGGGUGGCAAGCCACCAGCGGCUUGCCCCUGCUGGACCACCGAUGGUACACCAGUGGCAAACCGCCCCAGCAAACAAUGACCUGGCGGUCUGCCGGCGGUUUUUGGGUGGCACAAAGUCAGCGGCUUGACGCGGUCGGACCACCGUCGGGGCACCUUCGGCAAACCGACCAACGUAAAAAAGCUGUCUGUCUCCCGGCGUUUCUUGGGUGGCAAGCAACCAGCGGCUUGCCCCUGCCCACCGUUGGUACACCAGUGGCAAACUGCUAGGUUACUGAAACUAAGAAUUUUAAAAAUCUUAAGAAAAUACAUGAAAAACAAUAUGAGACUGCAUAUAGGGCUUAUUUAACGAAAUGCAUACAUAUUUUUUUAAUAUUUCAGUUUAAAAGAAUUUUAAGGAUAGAAUAAAAAAUGAGAGAUAGUGUUUGAUACAAUGUAGUCCACGUGCAGGCGUGGUAAUUUGGACAUUUAUAGACAACAAAACGAGUUUGUGAUUUCAUAAUCAUUUGAGGAGAUUUUAAAUUGUUGUAGUGAUUAUGUCAAUGUGUGAAUUUGCCAUGACGCGUGUGCUGUGCGUGCCGAACACGUGCCCUUUUUGGCUUGUUCGACUUCAUGCGGCGCUGCAAGAACCGACAGCUGUAUGACGUCAAAGUACCGCGAGAACGAUUCGAGAACUCAUACGAAGUGUAAUUUCGUCUCGCUCUCGCGGCACUUUAACGUCAUGCGUCUGUCAGUUCUAGCGGGGCCGCAGGCAGGAAGUCGAACAGCCGUCUUUCCCUCAAUACGGAUUACCAUGAGGUGGGACUGACGAAGCUCCUCUUUCACGGGUUUCUUUACUGUUUUCAGGAGUGACCAAUAUAACCUCUAUAAUAGAAGAAAAGCUGAAGAUUUCAAAAUUUUCUGAAGGGAGCCACAGACAGAGAUGUAAACUCAGAUUUUCCUUGCUGAUAUCCGUGCAGCAGAGUCAAAGCAGACCUGUCAGAAAACAUCUCUAAGUUGCUAUGAAUCUCAUAACUAGAUACACAUCAUGAGAUAACUAGAGCUUAUGGCUCUGUUUGGAUCCAGCCUCACUUGUGAAGAAUUCAGAUGACGUAAACACUCACAAAGACAUUAUAUGAUGGCAUCUAUAGAUGGACAUACACAACUGCCAAAUGUAACAUAUUGUAAUUACUGCACCAAAGCGCAACCCUACAGAUUUUCAACCCACUUAAUAUUUUUACAAAUACAAUAUAUGUUUAUAUUUGAAAAAAAUAUUCUUUAGCUAAUUUUACUGAUUUAUUUCCAUUUAUUUGUCCACAAUACUCUGCCAAAAUGAUGUUUUGCAUCAUCCAAAUAUUGUUAAUGUACAUAUUACAGACAUUGUAACAACACAAAGUGGGUUGAAAAAGUUUCUUCUUCUAAGUGCAGUAACUACGCAAACACUAAAACCGAGAAAAAAGUUCUUAAAGUGUUUUACACCAGCGGGUCAAACUUGUUACUGCAAUUUUGGCAAACACAUUUCUCUGAUGGGACAAAAUUAAACCAGGAGACUUUGUCACAAGACAACAGAUCUCACAAAGCCCAUUUCAACCUUCACCUCAAUUUUGACCAAAUGCAUAGUUACUGCGCUUUGGCUUUGUUGGGCAGUAUAGUAGUAUUAUAGUAAUGCUGCAGUGAAACCAUGGUAACCAUAUAUUUUUAAAUCAUGGUAAAGUUUGUGGUUACUAAAAUGUAGUACUAUAAGCCUAUGCUGUUGUAAGAGAAUGUUUAUUCUUUAUUAUUGUUGUAAAAUCAUGGUUGAUUUUAUAUUUACCAUGUGUUACUGCAAAUGAUGGUAAAAUCAUGGAUAACUUUGCAUGGGUACAGAAAGGUGUAAACUGGUUGUUUUUAUUUGUAAGUCAUGUUGGUUUUAAUGCAUGUGAUAAAUGUAUAUGCAUUUGAAUAUUUAUUCUGUUUACUGACAAUAAUAAAUUUGCAGUUGCUGAUGUAAA